GUGUUAGGAUUUAUGUUUAUGCACUAUAGCCGGGUAGCAUAUAGGUUGAAAAUUAAUAUUGUUUUGUUACACACACACACACAAUACAGAGGGGUGUGUGUGUGUAGGUGUGUAAGGACUGACCACCACAGGCCAUAAAAGCUGUGGACAGUCUGGAGAGGGGAGGGGUGCAUCACUCUGGGCCAACAAGGGUGGUGAAGAGACUGUUCACUACCAUAUUAGGAAUUGUUUGAGUGAAGAAUCGAGGGUGACACAGGAUGGAGCUGCUCUACCCAACCACCAGAUGUGGAGAAGGAAAACGCCAAGGGGCUUGGACAAGUUCGGGGGCCCACAAAGGAGGAGCAAGAGUAUUAACCAUGCUCAACCUCUACUAUGAUAGGCCAAAGUUGAGAAUAAAAUUGUCAUAGUAUAAAAACUACUAUUUGAGUACAUUCCACAGUUCUCUGAUCUACCCUACGCGGAGAUACAGUGAACCCGUAUAUACGAAAAUUGCAUUUACCAUUUAUCGUUUGAGUUUAAUUAAAAUACUUAAAAUAUAUUCGGUGACUAUGAAUCACAUUUUGUCCUGAUGCCAGAUUUGAACUGACGCAAAUCUCUUUCAACAGUCAACGUUGACCAAGGAGAACCAAGAAUUUCAUGUAAAAGGACUUACAAACAAUGAGAGAAGAUGGCCUCAUCAGCAGAGGAUGAUGCCAUAACCGCAGUGGUAGAUGUUGAGAUCCCUAAGCAAGAGGUACAGGAACCAACUGUGGUUGCUGUAGAUGAUGAUAUAGCUCCCAUAGAUGUGUAUGUAUCAAGCCACCCUGACCAUACAACUGAAAAUAUGAAAAUGUAGAUGCUGAAAAGGAAGAUCAAGAUGGAGGCUUUGGAAGAGGAGAGGGACUUUCUCUGCAAAACUGUUAACCAGUUGUAUGGGCAAGGAGGUCAGACUCCCUAGGACCAAGUCCUGCCUCUUCUGUGGCAGCCACACCUACAAAAAGAAGGGAAGCAUGUCCGCUACUUUCCACAGCGUGGGAGUGGAUCGCAACACUGUGGCGAUGAGUGCCCCUCUGGUAGAGAUCAUGCUUGUGGUGCCGGAGUUCCUUCAUUCACAGGCAGUGUUUGACAGCUCUAAAGAGAGGCUCAACCAAUAUGCAAGGAGGAUCACCAAAAAUGUAACAGCAGAGGUGAGCUAUGCUGUAAAAUAGAAGAGGUGUAAUGAACUGCUCCCUAUUACUUAUAAGUUCAAAUAAACACUGAUUAUGCACACUCAUUCACACACCCACACGUGCCCGCACACAUACACACACCGGGUAGAGAUAAUGUAAGAGUAAGAUAGUGUGUCCCUGCUGUAAAACAAUCAUAAAGAUGUUAGUCUGUUUUCUGAGAUGUGGUGCAAGGAACUGCUCCAUAUCCCCUAUAAACUUGAUUUUGCACACAUUUAUGUAAAAGAUACAGCAUGUUCUGGCUGUAAAUUCGAAACAAAAUAAACAAAAUAUUGUGAGUGGUUGACACUUGCUCCAGAUGUACAGUGAAGAGAGCCAUCUGUACAUGUUCCACAAAGAUAAUCACAAAAUGAAUUCAAAUUCUAAAAUCAAAAAGGAGCGAAUGAUUUUAGAAUGGCAGAGCGCCGUUCCUGAAUGCAUAUAGUGGAAACACUGCAAAAGACAUCUACAUGCCAACCCCUAACUAUAGAAUUCCCAAGUACUGUACUGGGUAUCUGCCAUAGUUGUAACAUAGUAACUACAUAAUGAUUACAUGAGUAAUUCACAAUGUGCUUCACUUUACAUUAAAUUGCUUGUUCCUGAGCAGAAACAUUGUAGUUACGAUACUUUUCUUUAUAACAUUGUAAUAAGUUACAUGUUGAUAUCCUGUGAAAUAUGUAAUUGCAUUGAAAGUAAAUUGUAAUUACACUUUUAGGUGCUGUGACAACAUUUAUUCUACAUUGAAGUGUAUUUUCCCAAUGAUUUUAAUAAAAAGGUUUACCCUACUGUGUUUCACUUUA
Molecule: long non-coding RNA, 1984 nt
Organism: Salvelinus fontinalis (brook trout)
Lineage: Eukaryota; Metazoa; Chordata; Actinopteri; Salmoniformes; Salmonidae
Exons: 5
Source: RefSeq, a predicted model, not a curated record